AGACCUCAGGUCAGGUGAGGCCACCCGCUGAGUUUAAGCAUAUCAAUAAGCGGAGGAGAAGAAACUUACAAGGAUUCCCUUAGUAACGGCGAGCGAACCGGGAUGUGCCCAGCUUGAGAAUCGUGUGGUUGUGCCGCUCGAAUUGUAGUCUGGAGAAGCGUCCUCAGCGACGGACCAGGCUGGAGUCCGCUGGAAGGCGAUGCCAAGGAGGGUGAGAGCCCCAUCUUGCGUGGACCCUGUCGCACCACGAGGCGCUGUCUACGAGUCGGGUUGUUUGGAAAUGCAGCCCAAAUAGGGCGGUAAAUUCCGUCCAAGGCUAAAUAUGGGCGAGAGACCGAUAGCGAACAAGUACCGCGAGGGAAAGAUGAAAAGGACUUUGAAAAGAGAGUCAAAAAGUGCUUGAAAUUGUCGGGAGGGAAGCGGAUGGGGGCCGGCGAUGUGCUCCGGCCGGAUGUGGAACGACUUAAUAGCCGGGACACUGCUCGGCUCGGGGCAUGGACCGUUGCUGGUUGCACCGAUGGCUAAAGCCCUUGCACAUGUUUGUGCAUGAGGACUUGAUGUCGGUGUGUCUGGGAUCCAGCGUGCAUCACCAUGGCGGCGCCUUUAGCGCCCGCGCGCCCUUGCACUGGCUUGUGGGCUCCCCAUUCGACCCGUCUUGAAACACGGACCAAGGAGUCUGACAUGCGUGCGAGCCGAUGGGUUUGGAUACCUGGAAGGCGCAAGGAAGCUGAUUGGUGGGAUCCCCCUUGUGGGGUGCAUCGCCGACCGACCCUGAUCUUCUGUGAAGGGUUCGAGUGGGAGCAUGCCUGUCGUGACCCGAAAGAUGGUGAACUAUGCCUGAGCGGGGCGAAGCCAGAGGAAACCCUGGUGGAGGCCCGCAGCGUUACUGACGUGCAAAUCGUUCGUCUGACUUGGGUAUAGGGGCGAAAGACUAAUCGAACCAUCUAGUAGCUGGUUCCCUCCGAAGUUUCCCUCAGGAUAGC
This 983-nucleotide ribosomal RNA is filed under the name Veratrum virginicum. RNAcentral describes it as "eukaryotic LSU rRNA". It matches the Rfam family "Eukaryotic large subunit ribosomal RNA", at positions 1 to 982 of the family's 3401-position model. Lineage: Eukaryota; Viridiplantae; Streptophyta; Magnoliopsida; Liliales; Melanthiaceae. The record is from RNAcentral.